CCUACGGGCGGCAGCAGUGAGGAAUAUUGGUCAAUGGGCGAGAGCCUGAACCAGCCAAGUCGCGUGAAGGAUGACGGACCUACGGGUUGUAAACUUCUUUUGUCAGGGAGCAAUUGAGUGCACGUGUGGUCUUAGCGAGAGUACCUGAAGAAAAAGCAUCGGCUAACUCCGUGCCAGCAGCCGCGGUAAUACGGGGGAUGCGAGCGUUAUGCGGAUUUAUUGGGUUUAAAGGGUGCGUAGGCGGAAUAUCAAGUCAGCGGGAAAAAUUCGGGGCUCAACCCCGUCGUGCCGUUGAAACUGAUGUUCUUGAGUGGGCGAGAGGUAUGCGGAAUGCGUGGUGUAGCGGUGAAAUGCAUAGAUAUCACGCAGAACUCCGAUUGCGAAGGCAGCAUACCGGCGACCAACUGACGCUGAAGCACGAAAGCGUGGGUAUCGAACAGGAUUAGAUACCCGAGUAGUC
RNAcentral lists this ribosomal RNA (460 nucleotides) under uncultured bacterium. RNAcentral describes it as "partial 16S ribosomal RNA". It matches the Rfam family "Bacterial small subunit ribosomal RNA", at positions 338 to 795 of the family's 1533-position model. The record is from RNAcentral.